Unclassified non-coding RNA from Cercocebus atys (sooty mangabey), 165 nucleotides. Lineage: Eukaryota; Metazoa; Chordata; Mammalia; Primates; Cercopithecidae. The record is from Ensembl.
CGGGAAGGAGGCCAGUGCUACCAGGGUUAUCUCACAACCUCAGAUGCUGGAUAAGUCGAAGGAGGCAGAAUCGCUUUGGGAUGACAUUCAGAAAGGCUGGAGUGAUUACUUGGAAGAGAAAAGCCUACCUAUUCUUUCCAAGGUAAACAGUUCAUUUCAUCUGGU